UACGUAGGUGGCAAGCGUUGUCCGGAUUUAUUGGGUUUAAAGGGUGCGUAGGCGGCCGUAUAAGUCAGUGCUGAAAUAUCCCGGCUUAACCGGGAGGGUGGCAUUGAUACUGUAUGGCUUGAGUAAAGUUGAGGUUGGCGGAAUUGACGGUGUAGCGGUGAAAUGCUUAGAUAUCGUCAAGAACACCUAUUGCGAAGGCAGCUAACUAAGCUUUAACUGACGCUGAGGCACGAAAGUGUGGGGAUCAAACAGGAUUAGAAACCCCUGUAGUCC
This 273-nucleotide ribosomal RNA is filed under the name uncultured bacterium. RNAcentral describes it as "partial 16S ribosomal RNA". It matches the Rfam family "Bacterial small subunit ribosomal RNA", at positions 524 to 796 of the family's 1533-position model. The record is from RNAcentral.